RNAcentral lists this long non-coding RNA (1539 nucleotides) under Cavia porcellus (domestic guinea pig). RNAcentral's name for it is "lncRNA (ENSCPOG00000034370.1)". Lineage: Eukaryota; Metazoa; Chordata; Mammalia; Rodentia; Caviidae. The record is from RNAcentral.
AUUCGGUUCCAAAGCCAGCUUGUCUCUUGACAAAGCUGCUUCCUCAGUUUCUCCGCAGCGCACUCAUAUGCCGCCGUAAUCGGAGCACAGUGUUUUAAUUGUAAUUUUGUUUUUUCAGACAGGGCCUCACAGUCAGUCCAAACUGGUCUUGAACCAAUGGGACCCUCUGCCUCGGGAGCGCCGGGAGGAAAAGCUUGCGCCACCACACCCGGUUUAUUUUCUGAUUUGAAAACUACCAUCACUGAGUAAUGCUUCAGUCUGCACGCAGAAGCCUAGUGCUUUUCCUUCACCCAGAUGAAGAAUCGGCCCCGCGGGGCACCGCUGCGAGUCAAUCGGUUUCCCGGGAGAAAACAGGGCAGGGAUCUGAUAAGACACUGAAGGCACAGCAGAAGCUGCAUCAGGGGCGGGUGAUCGGUGACAGCAGCUGCCGCCGUGGGGCUCGCCACGACAAAGCUGCUACUGCUUCUCCUGCUCCCCUCUCGGAGUCAGGGCUCUGCGCAACAAACCAGCGCUCAGGAACGCCCCACAGCCCCGGCUGAGCAGGGAGACCCGAAACUCGAAACCCAACUCCGCCCGGGCCAGCCCCCGAGACUCUCACCGGCGGGCUCCCCUCCCCCCAGGGAGCGCCGCCGCCCACGCCCGCCCGCGGCGGCCUCUGCGUUUGUUUCCCGGAUCCAUGCACCACCCAACAUCCUCCACGAUUCCCCUCCCCCUGCAGAGGACCGCACUGCGCCUGCGCCACUCUUCUCCCCCUCCCUGCCCCGACCACGUCCACCCUGCUAUCGGCUCCGCCCCACUCCCUGUAGACCAAUCCCAGUUCCCGAUCUGGGGGCAUCACAUUGGUGCUUCGCAGACGCGCCUGUCUGUCUGUGGCGGCCGUCUUCAGGAACGUGGCACUCCAAGGAUGCCAUCCACGGUGACGCUGGGAAUGGCAGUGGCAGGUGCCACAGAGGGGGCUACCAGCACUGCUAUUCCAGAUGGGGGCGGACGCAGGCCUGGGCGUGGCUGGGCUCGGCGCUCGCUCCUCCAUCCGGAAGUGCUCUGCCCGGAAGUGGCUCGACCCGGAAGUGCUCACGCGCUUCCCGGAAGCGCGCAACAGAGGUGACGCCCGUUAAACCGCAGCUUUGUGAAAGCCUCCCGCGGGCGAUGAAGCCGCACGCAGCCAUUUUUACUUUCCGGCGCGCGGUGCGCAGGGCGAGUCCUGCCUGUCGCACGCUCCUUCGCGAGGCUAGCCUAGCCACAUUGCUUAGUCGGGGCUGUGCUUUCGCUGGCGCGUGCCUCAUAACUCUGUUCGCCCACGCGCAGGGCCGCGGUUGCCCGGUGCGCCAUCUGCCGGCCACUAGACCACUGCGCCGCGACAGUCCACGCGGAGCCCGACCGGAAGCCUGUGCGCGCCGCCGAUUUCGCUCAUGCGCAUAUGGGCAGGAGGGGAGUCCUGGCCCGCGGGCGCGCCCCAGUGGCCACGCAGGGCGGCCUGCAGCGCAAGGACGCCGCGGGAACUGCGGAGGCUUUUGUGUUUUGAGCUGGUUGGCCACGUAG